AUUGAACGCUGGCGGCAUGCCUUACACAUGCAAGUCGAACGGCAGCACGGGGGCAACCCUGGUGGCGAGUGGCGAACGGGUGAGUAAUACAUCGGAACGUGUCCUGGAGUGGGGGAUAGCCCGGCGAAAGCCGGAUUAAUACCGCAUACGCUCUAUGGAGGAAAGCGGGGGAUCUUCGGACCUCGCGCUCAAGGGGCGGCCGAUGGCGGAUUAGCUAGUUGGUAGGGUAAAGGCCUACCAAGGCGACGAUCCGUAGCUGGUCUGAGAGGACGACCAGCCACACUGGGACUGAGACACGGCCCAGACUCCUACGGGAGGCAGCAGUGGGGAAUUUUGGACAAUGGGGGCAACCCUGAUCCAGCAAUGCCGCGUGUGUGAAGAAGGCCUUCGGGUUGUAAAGCACUUUUGUCCGGAAAGAAAUCCUCUGGGUUAAUACCUC
This 439-nucleotide ribosomal RNA is filed under the name bacterium Ellin5015. RNAcentral describes it as "bacterial SSU rRNA". It matches the Rfam family "Bacterial small subunit ribosomal RNA", at positions 30 to 464 of the family's 1533-position model. The record is from RNAcentral. Lineage: Bacteria; Pseudomonadati; Pseudomonadota; Betaproteobacteria; Burkholderiales; Burkholderiaceae.